GUCGCCAACAUCAACCGCCGGUAAGAUCCGUCCGGGCUCCUACGGGAGCCGGACUCCGCACCUGACUUUAAUUGCAGGAGGACUCCGCCCGGACUCCUACGGGAACCGGGCUCCGAUCGCAACAUCAACUCCAGGAGGACUCCGAUCGGACUCCUAGGGAGCCGGGCUCUGCCCACGACUCCAACCUCAAGGGGGACUCCGCCCGGACUCCUACGGGAGUCGGGCUUCGUCGCCAACGUCAACCGUCGGUAAGAUCCGUCCAGGCUCCUACGGGAGCCGGACUUCGCACCUGACUUUAAUUGCAGGAGGACUCCGCCCGGACUCCUACGGGAACCGGGCUCCGACCGCAACAUCAACCCCAGGAGGGCUCCGCCCGAACUCCUACGGGAGCCGGACUCCGUCGUCGGCUCCGACCGGUGCCGAACUUCGACCGACGGAUCCGCA
Molecule: long non-coding RNA, 444 nt
Filed under: Elaeis guineensis (African oil palm)
Lineage: Eukaryota; Viridiplantae; Streptophyta; Magnoliopsida; Arecales; Arecaceae
Description: long non-coding RNA (EGUI_LNC036432)
Source: RNAcentral